Molecule: long non-coding RNA, 3990 nt
Organism: Clupea harengus (Atlantic herring)
Lineage: Eukaryota; Metazoa; Chordata; Actinopteri; Clupeiformes; Clupeidae
Source: Ensembl
ACGCACACACACACACGCACACACACACAUACACACACAUCUACAACUUCUACCAGUGCAGUGUGCCAAUCUCCUCUUAACCUAGGUAAUUAGCAGCAGCCUGUUGUCACUGUAAUAUGCUGCGGUCCCAUUACAGUGUCAGGCGGCCACUAGACACGUAUGAUCCCAGGACUCUGUUUAGCAUUCCAAAGAGACAGGCAAGCAAUGGGCCUGACAAGCUGUCUGUCUAUCUCCAUCAGGACGGAGUCCCAAAGCCCCGAAGUCCUCCUCAGCAAGCACGAAGAUCUCCCUAAGUCACAGUCUGCAAGAGUCUGCAAAAAUCACUCACACCCAUCAUUUUUUUUCUUUUCUCUUAAUUUUUCAGGAUCGUUUUCUUUAUUUUAUUCCAAGUGCCAACCAAUUACCCAUGCUCCUGUAAGAUCCCGUCACAAGUCUGGCAACUGUCCCGAGCCUUUUUCCGUUUGGCAGGGAGACUGGGGGGGGGGAGCUGAAGGCGGAGUGACAGAGCUGCUGCCGCACUUGUGUUGGCAAGUGUGUGUGUGUGUGUGUGUGUGUGUGUGUGUGUGUGUGUGUGUGUGUUAGGUAGGGAGAAAGAAGUAAUGACAGCUUUUAAGAGUGGCUGCUCUAGGACAGCAAACUUCAGCUCCAUCUCCACUAACCCCCUUCUCCCCACUCCUCCUCCCCACCUCCUCUCGCCAUCUCCACCACCUUGUCCCUGUGGACGCUCCUUCCAACUUGAACAUCCUUCAGAGGGUGCCGUUAUCUCCUCAAACCAAUUAUUUGAUUAGGAGACGGAAACCGCUUCAAUAAUUUGCUUUGCUAAUGAGGAGAUGAUGCCAGAGGAGCGGUCUGGCCAUUCCCUCAGUUCUCGUCCCUCUUCCGCUCUUGUCACGGAACAGCGCGCCGGACGGACGCGGGGGUUUAUGCUCGGGAAACAAAAGAAGAAUCGGACCGGAGAUUUUCGCACAGCUUCUCACCUCCUGAUCACAUCUGGGGAAUACCUUGCAAUACCACAGCAAUGAAACACAUUGAUUGUAGACUCUUGGACAUAGACUCUUGGACACAUAGACUCUUGGACUCACAUAGACUCUUGGACUCUCGUGUUCUGCUGCAUGUCCAGACUCCAAGCAGCAGUACUUCAUCUCAGCGAGCCCAGCUGCAGGUCACUCAGCAGCACAGAGAGCCAAUGGCACGGGUAACAUCAGGGACCGGCCCACCGGGCGACAGGGAAGAGACACUGAGAGACAGAGGGCUCCUCUGGUGCCAAUAUCCCCGUCCCUUUAUCUCUGCCAGUGUGACGCUCCCUUUCGUCCCGUCUCUGGUGCCAGGGAUCCGGUCUGCUUCCGCCAGCGGAGCCCCGCUGACACCCGUCACGUCAGAUGUCAGAUGUUCCCCAAAGGACAGGAUGCGCCGGCACCCGCUAGUCUCUCUCACAAAUCUACAUUUUUUUUGUUUUUUUCAGUGUAUGUGGGAGCAUGUCAUAAUGUUGCAAAUGUCGGCACCCCACCAGACGACAGCCUGCCCACUCCAAGCGAUGCAGCAUCUGGAGGAGGAUGGAGGUGCUGGGACAAAUUCAUUAGAUUUUACAGGCAGUCGCACUGAUUCACAACCCUGUCUUGUUUAACAGUGCCUGUGCUUUUCCGCUGCUCAUGUCCCUCUCUCUCCAUGCUCCGCAGUUUUGGUUGGACCCUCGUGACCCCUCUUGCACACAUCACUCCACACAGUCUGGCACCACUCGGGCGAGCCUGAAGCCGGGGGCAAAUGAAGAUAGCUGGGCAUAAAACAAAAUGAAGAUAGCUGGGCAUAUAACAAAAUGAAGAUAGCUGGGCAUAUAACAACAUGAAGAUAGCUGGGCAUAUAACAACAUGAAGAUAGCUGGGCAUAUAACAAAAUGAAGAUAGCUGGGCAUAUAACAACAUGAAGAUAGCUGGGCAUAUAACAACAUGAAGAUAGCUGGGCAUAUAACAACAGCUCUACAACAUGGAGGAAGGGGCACUGGAACAUAACCAGACAUGAUUCACAGGAAACUGUGAUGCGCAUAAUGGCCUAUUGUACCCUCUGUAACCAGAUCAUAAGCUCAGUAGGCUACUCAGCAAGGAGGGACCCGAAUGGCAUUUUUCAUACUGGUUUAGAGCCACCCCUUGCAAUCUGGAGCCAAGCACACACACAGCUCCAUUUAGUCAACAACAUCACCUUCCAGAUCCUCACAGUAAAGGUGGGCAGCUCACUGAAGCCUCUCCUUGUUUGCAUGAGGUGGGCCGAUACCAAACUCAAGAGCCCCUCUCUCCAACAGAGCUUAUCCCAGCACUCUGACAAAUGUGUCUCCAGCACGGGCUGAUGGAGAGCUCUGAUAAUGACCUGAUUGUAUCUCACUCAGUCUGUUCUCCCGCACUGGAUCUCUGUCAGCGCUGCUGUCAUGCUACACCCAGCGUGAGUGCUGGCUGGCAGGCGCUGCCUUGUAAAUCAGACAGACCUGGUUUCACUCACUGUGAGACCGUCCACAAGAGAGAUGCAGAAACUCAGGGCCAAGGCACACACACACAAAAAAAAGAAGAAGUCAGGAGGACAGUUUAAUUAUGGAUCUCGAAAUAAACCACCCCAACGUCUUUGUUGUUUGUUUCCAGUCAAACAGAUUGUCUUUUUCUUGUUUUUAAUGAAAGCUGUUCAUUAAACUCAAGGUUUUAUAAACUGAAAUGAUUAACUAAAAGUCGAGCCUCUUUAUGCCUGUUAGGCUGCAGUUAAGGGCUUUGGAUGGGAGAGGGGGAAGGCGUCUAUAAUUAAGGAGUCAGUGAUGAUAUACGAAAAGCAUCCUGACGAGUCUCCAAAGACACAAUAAAAGGCUGUUUGCUAACAAGCUAGUGCCAGUAAUGACGGCUGCUUCAAAGAGAGCAGGGCUCUCUGAAACGAGGGCGUUAAGUGGCGCUGACAGAUUCAGAAAUAAUUUUAGGACCUUCGUUUUGAACAGGUGACUAAAGAAGAAGAAAAAUCAAGAAAUGUUUUGAAGUUGACCUCUAGAAUAGUCUCAUUCCUGUAAACCUCCCAUAAAAGUGAGGUUAAAUACACAUACUAUUGUAGUUAUCAGACAUGUUAGCCUCAAAACACCAGGAUUAGCAAAGCCAGGCCAGACAAAAAAAACGAUUUAAAAACGAUUUAAACUUCAUACAUAACAACAAGCCGUUUAGAAUGAGAAUCUGUUUUUCAGGCUCUAUCUUCAUGUUUCAUGAAAAAAAAAAAAAAAAAAAUAUUUGAAUAAACAUACAUGCAGUAGCCAUGACAAAAGUCAAGUGAUAUAAAUACUCCUACGUGCCUCAUUUCAUCUUAGUUUGAGCGCUGCUGCCACCUGUGCUGUUAUUUCUAUGAUCGCAUGCUUAAAUCUAUAUUAUCCCCCAUACAUCUCCUGGAUUAUGACAUGGUAUAUUACAAAAUGGACACUAUGUGCAAUCAAUUUUCAGUUCGACUGCACGCUUUCUCUAUGAGGAGAUUGUCAUUAACUUGCAGAUUAUUCAUAUGUACUGGGCUUCUACUUGAUCCCCAAGGUAGGCUUCAAUCUAGGUCAUAAUUGUUCAUUGAACACUAUAAACACAAAGGAUAUAUCAUUUAUGAAGUUGUUAAGCAAGAGUAUUUUGCAGGGAAAGUGGCUAAAUAUUGUAAAAGAUGACAAAACUGUCAGUAUACCAUGUCACAGCACAGUUUACCUGAAAACUGUAGUAUAAUAGUCCUUUCAACUCUCUCUCUCUCUCUUAAUUUGCAUGAGAGUGUGUGUGUGUGUGUGUGUGAGAGAGAGAAAGUGUGUGUGUAGGUGUGCGUGUGUCUGUAUGUGUGACAGUGUCUUCCAUCACAUCAAACUCUCCUAUUCAUUAUGAGCAGUGCAAUAAAGACUAUUUCUAAAUGAUCGGCACUUUCUCAUUUUCUGACUUUUCCACGGCGCGUGUCAGAGCUGUCUCAGAUCUCUGAUUAGAUGGACGCACGGCAAAGGCACCUCCUCGAGGC